UAGGUGGGAGGCUUUGAAGUGUGGACGCCAGUCUGCAUGGAGCCGACCUUGAAAUACCACCCUUUAAUGUUUGAUGUUCUAACGUUGGCCCGUUAUCCGGGUUGCGGACAGUGUCUGGUGGGUAGUUUGACUGGGGCGGUCUCCUCCUAAAGAGUAACGGAGGAGCACGAAGGUUGGCUAAUCCUGGUCGGACAUCAGGAGGUUAGUGCAAUGGCAUAAGCCAGCUUGACUGCGAGCGUGACGGCGCGAGCAGGUGCGAAAGCAGGUCAUAGUGAUCCGGUGGUUCUGAAUGGAAGGGCCAUCGCUCAACGGAUAAAAGGUACUCCGGGGAUAACAGGCUGAUACCGCCCAAGAGUUCAUAUCGACGGCGGUGUUUGGCACCUCGAUGUCGGCUCAUCACAUCCUGGGGCUGAAGUAGGUCCCAAGGGUAUGGCUGUUCGCCAUUUAAAGUGGUACGCGAGCUGGGUUUAGAACGUCGUGAGACAGUUCGGUCCCUAUCUGCCGUGGGCGCUGGAGAACUGAGGGGGGCUGCUCCUAGUACGAGAGGACCGGAGUGGACGCAUCACUGGUGUUCGGGUUGUCAUGCCAAUGGCACUGCCCGGUAGCUAAAUGCGGAAGAGAUAAGUGCUGAAAGCAUCUAAGCACGAAACUUGCCCCGAGAUGAGUUCUCCCUGACUCCCUGAGAGUCCUGAAGGAACGUUGAAGACGACGACGUUGAUAGGCCGGGUGUGUAAGCGCAGCGAUGCGUUGAGCUAACCGGUACUAAUGAACCGUGAGG
RNAcentral lists this ribosomal RNA (778 nucleotides) under Escherichia coli. RNAcentral describes it as "partial 23S ribosomal RNA". It matches the Rfam family "Bacterial large subunit ribosomal RNA", at positions 2144 to 2916 of the family's 2925-position model. The record is from RNAcentral. Lineage: Bacteria; Pseudomonadati; Pseudomonadota; Gammaproteobacteria; Enterobacterales; Enterobacteriaceae.